GGCGGCGCGGCGCGGGGCGGCGCGGCGCGGGGGGCAGCGGCAGCAUGCGGAGCGGAGCGGAGCGGCGCCGCCGCCAGCGUGGUUCUUAGUGUUGCCCUGGAAGCACAGGGCAGUCUGACAUGCCCAAUGCUGGAGCAGUGGUUGCACUGUGGUUUGUGAGGAGCUCAGAUUUGCCUGAGUUGCAUCUGGGAUCUAGAAGAGUAACAUGCUUGGAAGUGCUUGCUAGUGUUGGUCGCCUGUGCCCCAGCACAAGAGCUCCAGCUUAAUCCUUCUUACACGCUUCUCUCAGAACAUGGGGGAAAACGAUGAUGAAAAAUAUAGUCAAGCUGGCCAGAUAUUUGAAAACUUUGUACAAGCUUCAACAUGCAAAGGUACCAUUCAGGCCUUUAAUAUUCUCACUCGCCAACUUGAAUUAGACCCUUUGGACAAUAGAAACUUUUACACCAAACUGAAGUCAAGAGUGACCACAUGGAAGGCCAAAGCUUUGUGGAACAAGCUUGAUAAAAGAGCAAGUCACAAAGAGUAUAAACGUGGAAAAUCUUGUAUGAACACUAAGUGUUUAAUUAUCGGUGGUGGCCCGUGCGGUUUGCGGACUGCCAUAGAGCUUGCCCUGCUGGGAGCCAAAGUUGUGGUGGUGGAGAAGCGGGACACCUUCUCACGAAACAACGUGUUGCAUCUCUGGCCCUUUACAAUCCACGACCUCCGGGGACUGGGAGCAAAGAAAUUUUAUGGGAAAUUCUGUGCGGGAUCUAUUGAUCACAUCAGUAUUCGACAGCUUCAACUUAUCCUCUUCAAAGUUGCACUUAUGCUAGGAGUUGAAAUCCAUGUGAAUCUAGAAUUUGUGAAAGUUGUGGAACCUCCUGAGGAUCAAGAAAACCAAAAGAUAGGUUGGAGGGCUGAAUUUCUCCCAGUGGAUCACCCUCUGUCGGAGUUCGAAUUUGAUGUCAUUAUCGGUGCAGAUGGCCGCAGGAACACACUAGAAGGUUUUAGAAGGAAGGAGUUUCGUGGAAAGCUGGCUAUAGCUAUCACUGCCAAUUUUAUAAACAGAAAUACAACUGCAGAAGCUAAGGUAGAAGAAAUCAGUGGCGUCGCUUUCAUCUUCAAUCAGAAGUUCUUCCAGGACCUUAAAGAGGAAACAGGAAUUGACCUGGAGAAUAUUGUUUACUACAAAGAUAGCACUCAUUAUUUUGUGAUGACAGCAAAAAAGCAGAGUCUUUUGGACAAAGGAGUGAUUAUUAAUGACUGUGUUGAUACCGAGUUGCUCCUCUGUGGGGAAAACGUGAACCAGUGCAAUCUGCUGUCCUACGCCAGAGAAGCUGCUGACUUUGCAACGAAUUACCAGCUGCCUUCCUUGGAUUUUGCAAUUAAUCACUACGGGCAACCAGAUGUAGCAAUGUUUGAUUUUACUUCCAUGUAUGCAUCUGAAAAUGCUGCACUAGUGAGAGAGAGGCACAGACACCAGCUCCUGGUGGCGCUUGUUGGAGAUAGUUUGCUUGAGCCCUUCUGGCCCAUGGGCACUGGCUGUGCAAGAGGCUUCCUCGCUGCUUUUGACACGGCAUGGAUGGUGAGGAGCUGGGCUCAAGGAAAACCCCCGCUAGAAAUCCUUGCUGAACGAGAGAGCAUUUACCGACUCUUACCCCAGACUACCCCUGAAAACAUUAACAAGAACUUUGACCAGUAUACCAUUGACCCAGGAACGAGAUACCCAAACUUGAACUCAAGCUGUGUUCGACCUCACCAGGUGAGACAAUUAUAUGUUACUAAUGAGUUACAACAAUGUCCUCUCGAAAGAGUAAGCUCCAUUAGAAGAUCGGUGAAUCUCUCAAGACACGAGUCAGAUAUUCGACCUAACAAACUUUUGACCUGGUGUCAGAAACAGACGGAAGGGUACCGUAACGUUAAUGUCACAGACCUGACUACCUCCUGGAAAAGUGGCCUUGCGUUGUGUGCUAUUAUCCAUCGCUUCAGACCUGACCUCAUCGACUUCGACUCCCUGAACGAGGAGGACGUUGUCCAGAACAACCAGCUGGCGUUCGACGUGGCCGAGCGGGAGUUCGGGAUCCCUCCGGUCACCACCGGCAGGGAGGUGGGCUCCGCCGGCGAGCCCGACAAGCUCAGCAUGGUCAUGUACCUCUCCAAGUUUUACGAGCUGUUCCGAGGCGCGCCGCUGCGGGCCGUGGAUGCUGGGGACAAGCAAAAUGGAGAAAAUAAUGACCUUUGUUCAGCAAAAUCAUCCAACUUAAUCUUCAAUAAUUACAUCAAUUUAACCUUACCAAGAAAACGAGUACCAAAGGUUGAAGGGAAAGCAGAGGAAAAUGAGACUAACAAGAGACGUCGGAAAGGGCUUUUUGGCGCCGCUGAGGAGGCUUCAGGCUUUUCAAGUCAAGGGUCGAAUUCUGGGAAAGAACCGAGUGAUGGUAGAGAAGGCGUCAACCAAAAUAAAGUUAAAUCGAUGGCCACUCAGCUCUUGGCAAAGUUUGAAGAAAAUGCUCCAAAUACAAUUUUUCGGAGGCAGGAGCUAGUAGAUAGUCCAGCCCUGCUAUCUUCUUCUGGUCCUCCUGUUAAUCCUCGCUUUGCUAAACCUAAGGAUCCAAGUCUUCCACCUCAACCGAAAAGGCAGUUUCAGGUGGUAGCUAGGACUGAACGCGAGGUCAGGGAACCCAAACAGUCUUUAAAUGGUUCUGACCGUAUGGUCAGGAGAGCACAGACUGUAGGAAAAGCAGAAACCCAGCCCAGGCUAUCAGAAAACUCUGAAACUCUCGCAUCUGCCUGUUCUGCUGCAUUUGUACUUUCUGGAGUGCUUGAGCGUCUUCAGCACCUGGAGGAAAAAAUGAAACAGAAAAGGGCUCAGACCAUAGCAAAUAGGGAAUUCCAUAAAAAGAACAUUAAAGAGAAGGCAGCACAUCUCGCCUCAAUGUUUGGAUGCAUGGAGUUUCCAAAGAAUAAGCUACCUUCUACAGGCUUAUCCCACUCUCAGCCCCCAGCUCCCCCUUGCCCUCCUCCUCACGGCUCGGCUGCUGCCUCUUCUCCAUCGUCUGUCGGUUCAGCUUCCCCCACUGCUCCUCCUGCGCAGAUGACUGUAGGAAAGGUUUCACGUGCAAUUGGAGCUGUGGCUGAAGUUCUUGUCAAUCUGUAUGUGAAUGAUCACAGGCCCAAGCCACAGCUUCCCCGCCUUGAACUGAACCGGUCACUGGACAGAGCUCCGUGUUCUUGCCCCAUUUCCUGCUCUCCUUCUCCAUCUUCUGCUCAGAGCUGUCAGGGGUCUCUGCGAAAAGAAUUUCCUCAGUCUGUAGGGGGGAGUGACAUUUGCUAUUUCUGCAAAAAACGGGUAUAUGUUAUGGAGCGGCUGAGCGCAGAAGGCCACUUCUUUCACCGAGAGUGUUUUAAGUGUGAAAUAUGUUCUACAACACUCCGCUUAGGAAUCUACGCCUUUGAUGUUGAAGAAGGCAAAUUUUACUGUAAACCUCAUUUUACGCACUGCAAAAUCAGUAAUAAACACAGAAAGAGAAGAGCAACGUUACAGGUCCAGGGAAAGGAUGCAACAGAAGCGUGGAAGAAGGAGGACCGCAAAGCCACAGAGACCACGCCAGAAAGCACUUUAGCUACCGCGAGCAGUCCAGAGGACAGUUCCCCAGGUAUCCUGCCUUCCUUCUUUAGGGGAGCGCUAGGCUGGCCCCUUCGGGUGACACGGGAUCUGCUUGACAUUCCCAGACGCCUGUCUAACUGGAUGCAUGGUUUUCUGCACGCUACCAACCUUCAUUUCAGGGACAAUGCGUAUAACUAUACCUAUUUGUACGAACUCUUGAGCCUCGGUGUGCCGUUCCUCUGUGCUCUUCUAGAGGUACUUGCUCACAUGUACCGGGAAGCAGAGCUAUCACUUGAAAACAUGCUUGAAUGGGUGAAAAAAAUCUUUAGGGUUUGAAUUCUUCUGUGUGCCUUGCUCGGUUGUGCCUUUCAGAUUUUCAAAAUUGACAGCCUUGCUUUUUUUUGAGGGUGUUUGGCUUUUGUUUUUUUUAAACCUUUUUGUGAUUGAUUGUGUAACUUAAAGAACAAAGAUUUUCUUCUGAUAUAAACUAGAUGCAGUCAAAAUUUUCAAUAUAAAAUGUACUGUAUGUUAAAGAGCAUGAAGGGCAGUGUCCAAACACAUUUCCAGAACUUGGAGAUUGAUGAAGGAUGUUUUAUGGAUAUAUAUAUAAAUAUAUAUAUAUAUAUAUAUAUAUAUACACACACACACACACACACACAUACAUGUAUUUUUUUUUCUCUUUUGUCCUGUCUAUGAUCAGGCCAUUUUGAGGGGUUUACAUUUUAAAACCCUUCUUUUUUUUAUUUCCCCCCCCCCCUUUUUUUUCUUGUUAGACCAAGAAAGAAUGUGUGUUCUUUCAGACAUUUAGGGAAAAUUUAUGACAAAUGACUGGGUUUUGAAACCUGAAUAUGGCGCAUUCCUUUUUCUCUUGCUUUCCCCUUUGCUCUGGGUUAUGAGGUUUAUAUCUUGCGUGAAUUUUUUUUAAUAUAUAUAUAUAUAUAUAUAUAUUGCUCCUAGUCAUGCCUUUAAAAUUUCUUACAUGUAAUACCCUUUGUCAACAGUGGGUAUAGUUUGUACUACUAAUCUAUAUAAAGUUUCAAAUAAAUUUAAAGAGCAAAUCUUAGCUGAGUGAAGGCUUGAUUAAACUUUUGAGUCAAAGAAACUAGUAGUAUAAUUAGACAUCACUUACACCUCAAGUGAAAGCUUCCUCCUUAGAUGGCUGAUUAAGGGAAUAUCAAGUUAUGGAGCACUCAUAUCUAACUGAAAUCACUGCUACCUGUGCCUCCAGGUGGGCACUGAUCUGACUGCAUUUGGAAUUCUUAAAAAACGAACAAAAAAAAGCCCCAAAAUGAAAAGAACCCCAACCCUAACUCCAGAACAAACAACAGAAACGUACACACGUAUUCUAAGGAGAUUGCUUCUUAGCUGGAUCUUCCAUUCAUUUCAGUGUGCAAAGCUGAUGGCAGGAAGAGGAACUUGAAUUAUCUUGAGCAGCUGUUAAGUAGUUUUCUUUUGGGUGUCUCUCAUCAGGGUCUACCUUAAGCAGAAGGCGUCAGUGGCAGGUAUAGGGCUAUUUAAUGGCAAGGAGACACCAACCACAUCCCAAAGCCUGAUUGCUUUCUCUCAGCCUAGUUAGCCAGUGAGGUAAGCACGCUCCCUGACUCCAAAGUGCCUAAAUGUUUACAUUCAGAAGUUAACCAGCAAAGGGGUAAAUACAUAAAUAUGGUAAUAUGUAUACCCUAAAAUGGAAAGCUUCUGUAGCGCUUACUUCUAGCCAGAAGACCAUAAAAUAACAGGAAAUAACAUUGCAUUCAGUUAGUACCAAAGCUGAGGAUCACCUACCAGUGAUCUUAAGUGGCUGUGCUGCUUAAGGCUGUGCAGUUUUUUGAUUUUAACAUAACAUGGGAAAAGACCAUUUGAAGUGGGUCUUACUUGUUAAGUAUUAAAAAGAAAUGUAUUUUCUGUUUAAAAUAAAUGACAGAAACAGGAUUUUUCCUCCAGCUAAUUUGAUUUUCAUUUUUUUAAACUAUGAAAAUGAAGCAUUUCACAAUCUAGAGUUCUUACAUAUUUUGGGGGGAAAAUGUCAAGUAUAUACACAGAACUUGAGGAAAUGGUUUAAGAAAAUUGUUUAGGUAUAACAUAGCAUUUGUUUGAAAUAAAUCGCCAUUAAUGCUGAAACAUGUAUUUAGCAAAACUUUGCUAGAAUUUUGACAGGGCACAAUGACUGUUAAAACAACAUAGUAAGCAUCUGUGUAUAUAUGCGAGGAAUGUAUCUGUACCUCUUUAAAGCAUUUUUAAAAACUGUAUUUUGGGACACUGUAUACGUUUUAAUUAUUUGCUAAUGACAGUAAUUGUUUCACUCUAGAAAGGAAAGAAUCUGCCUUGUGAUUUACCGUGUUACUCUUGCAACACAACAAAUUUAAGUGGUAAAGUUUUAAAAUUUGACUUGCCGACAGUUUUUAUUGCAGUUUGUCACUAGCACAAUCUUUCAGAACUUUUUUCCUGGAAUAUGCUCCUGCUGUUUGCUGUCAGGAAUUACUGCUUUUCAAUAGAGUGAGCAUAAAGGUAAAUGUGCAGAAAAUGGGGAAGUAGCAAGAAACCUGGAAAUCUUUGUUAGCCCACGAACUUAAAGCAAAUGAAUCUUACUAGUAGAAGGUGAAAGCUAAAGGUGGUAUUGGCUUUACGUAGAUUUAUAUAGAAGAAAAAAUUCUACAACAGAAUUCCGAGAAGAAAGCUUGCAUAACUUUAAGCAUUUUCCACAGGCAUGUUAAUUGUAUUAUCUAUUCUCCUGGGUUUUUGCAAGAGCUUUUGUUUUGAAGGUUGUUCACUGUUAUCUAUCUAAUUGGUAGGUUUUUUGUUCUUUUUAAUCUCGUUGUCUUAAAGUUCUAUUAGUAAGAUUAAUACCUGUUUGUCGUAAUGUAAUGAAAAAAAAGGCAGUUUCAUUUUGGCUGAUUCUUCUUUCUGCCUAAGUAACCUUUCCGAUGGCUGCCUGCAUAAGCAAGCUAAGUUCUGUAUUUCUUUUCUGCCGUUCUCUGUGCCGACCUCCCGCGUUGCUUAGUCCCUUCCGUCGCUCCGGCGCUGCGCCCGCUCACGGGCUGAAGCCUCCCUCCUCUCAGAGUCUUCCUAGUUCUUCCUGGCCAGGGAGGACUCUGUCCUCCUUCUCCAAAAACUUCUGUUUUCGUCCUACUUUAUAAUCUUAUUGAAUACUUCUACUAGUUUUUAACUCUGUAUUUAAAUUUUCACAUGGAAAUUCUGUAUUUUGCACACAGUGAAAAUUGUUUUAGCUUUAUUUAUGGUAUUUGCUGUAAAGGAAAAUAAAUGUAGUUCUUUAUAA
Rhea pennata is the source of this 6860-nucleotide RNA transcript. It is a transcript of the gene named microtubule associated monooxygenase, calponin and LIM domain containing 2, with no coding region annotated. The record is from RefSeq and is a predicted model, not a curated record. NCBI's taxonomy places the organism in Eukaryota, Metazoa, Chordata, Aves, Rheiformes, Rheidae. The transcript has 27 exons.